Molecule: long non-coding RNA, 647 nt
Filed under: Equus asinus (donkey)
Lineage: Eukaryota; Metazoa; Chordata; Mammalia; Perissodactyla; Equidae
Description: lncRNA (ENSEASG00005024701.1)
Source: RNAcentral
GCAGUGCCGGGGUAACCGCGGCCACGCGGCCGCCAGCUCCAGCCCACCCGUGCCGCCUCCCGGGGAGCUGCGGGGCGCUCGGCCCCUGGGGCUGCACGGGGAGCUGCGCCGCUCUCCGGCGAGCGGCGCAGACUUUGAAUUCCUGCCUUCUUCUUUAACCAGAGAACUGAGUGGGCAGGGCACACAUCCACAAAGUCUCAGGCGACACUGCCCCGCGGUGAGAGAGGCGACGGGAGCGCUGCGUGGCCCAGCACAGGACGAGGUCCGGGAACCGCGGAAACGCAGGAUCAUCUCCCAAAUAAAUUGUCUGCACAGUGCUUGUUAUAGGCUCUGCUUCCAGGGAACCCAGGCCAAGAAAAUUACCCAAGGACGGACACCAAUGAGAUUUCCCAAGAACGAAUAUCAAGGUCAAAAUGGGAUAAUAUCUUCAAACUGUUGAGGACAAAUCAUUGCUAACUUUGAAUUCCAUACCCAGCUGAAGUCCCAUCCAUGUGAGGAGAGGGAAGAGAUGGUCAAAAAAGUAUAAAAAUGUCCUUGGAAAACAGAAGAGAAAUAGAGAUGGGGCACCAGUGCUUUCCAGGCUGGGCCAGCUUCCAUCUGGGGAAGCUCUGCGGCCAGAUAAACUGCACAUCUUCUGAGCAAGUGAG